RNAcentral lists this long non-coding RNA (1685 nucleotides) under Salmo salar (Atlantic salmon). RNAcentral describes it as "lncRNA (ENSSSAG00000094700.1, ENSSSAG00000102712.1)". The record is from RNAcentral. Lineage: Eukaryota; Metazoa; Chordata; Actinopteri; Salmoniformes; Salmonidae.
CUCCUAAGCAUGUGUUUACCAAAGGCCUUAUUUUGGUGGAGUUAGUGCCUACAAAAAGACGCCAUUACUAUUUCUCUCACUUGUGGUAUUACAGAAAACACGCACUUUGUGUGCCACAUAGAGAUGGAGGACACAUCUUUAUAACUAUGCAUUAUAGUGGCUGUGACAACAUGGGCAGCGCCAUUGAGGGUACAACCCAUAGGAAUUCCCACCCAGUUUCCUACUUUAAAAUGGUGGAUGAUGGCAAUGUCCAAUAGCAAUGGUCAUGCUAAAAUGGGUUAUAUCCAUGAUGAGUCCUCGAUGUAUCUUUAUGGUGUGACUUGUAACUAGUGGCGACCGCAUGCAGUAAAGUGGACAUUCGUGCCUAUGGAAAACUCGAGAUUGCCACGGCGAGAUAAAGUGGAUUAAUUUGCUAUUUAUUUGCAGCGUCAACAGGUGUCUCCAGGUGCGAUGUCCAAGCGUCAACAGGUGUCUCCAGGUGCGAUGUCCAAGAGUACAUCUUCAAAUAACUUUUGUAUCAUAUUGUUGAUACUGUUAACACAAAUUCCCUGCAUCUUACAAGGCCUUGACAUGCAUUUGGCUAUGCCAUCUUUUGAAGUAUCUUGCAGAAAUGAAAAAGAAGACAUCUGCAAUUCCAUCACAUCCUGUGGAUGGAAUGGUUUCCUGAAACAAGUGCAAAUUAUUUGCUCUAAAGUUGAGAACGAUGAACGUGAUACCUUCAGGCGUUUUGAAAUUGCUCCCAAGGAUGAACCAGAUUUCUGGAGGUCUACAAUUUUUUUUUUCCUGAGGUCUUGGCUGAUUUCUUUUGAUUUUCCCAAGAUGUCAAGCAAAGAGGCACUGAGUUUGAAGCAGUGUCGACACAGCGCACAGUACAAUCAAAUGUGUCAGCAGUGAAAGUGGAUGAACCCAGAAAUGAAACAUCUGGAAACGACGCAAUUUCCAACUGGUCGUGGAUUUUCCCUUGCAUUUGCAUUGCCAUUAUUAUCAUUGGAUUUUUCAUUGGAUUUUACAUUGGAUUUUGUAUUGAUUGUACUUGUCUGGAGCGAAAAGGGUGGUGUCGCCGUGGUAAAAGGUACAUUGCAGUACCUGUAGAAGUGGGCCUAAUCUAAAGUCUUAUGUAACAUCCAGCACGCAGACAAGCCAACUGUAACUGAGUUUAACAGAGUCUAUUUGUUUUGUUUAUUUAUUUUGUAUUUUGGGUGCAUUAUUUUUGUCUGAGCUGGGGUUGAGUGAUUGGGAUGGUUGAGUCAACUUUCACUAACUCUGAUCAGGCCAUUAAUUGUUUUCUUUCCCUGUUUAACUCUGUUGCAGAUAAAACAUUUGCAUACAAAAAAGUAAGAGUAAAAGCCCGACGUUAUCAUUGGUAUAUUCAUGGGGUGGCGGGUAGCCUAGUGGUUAGAGCGUUGGACUAGUAAAUGAAAGGUUGCAAGAUCGAAUCCCCGAGCUGACAAGAUGAAAAUCUGUCGUUCUGCCCAUGAACAAGGCAGUUAACCCACUCUUCCUAGGCUGUCAUUGAAAAUAAGAAUUUGUUCUUAAAACCUCUAUGGGCUAGGUGGGACGCUUGCGUCCCAGCCACUUUAAGCCUGUGGCGCGAUUUUCAAAACCUUAAAAAUCCUAUUACUUCAAUUUCUCAAACAUAUGACUAUUUUACAGCUAUUUAAAGACAAGACUCUCGUUAAUCUAAC